CCUACGGGUGGCAGCAGUGAGGAAUAUUGGUCAAUGGGCGGGAGCCUGAACCAGCCAAGCCGCGUGAGGGAAGAAGGUACAGCGUAUCGUAAACCUCUUUUGUCAGGGAACAAAGGCGGGGACUAGUCCCCGGAUGAGGGUACCUGAAGAAAAAGCAUCGGCUAACUCCGUGCCAGCAGCCGCGGUAAUACGGAGGAUGCGAGCGUUAUCCGGAUUUAUUGGGGUAAAAGGGUGCGCUGGCGGCCUAUUAAGUCAGCGGGAAAAGCCCGGGGCUCAACCCCGGCGAGCCGUUGAAACUGGCGGGCUGGAGUUGGAGAGAAGUACGCGGAAUGCGCGGUGUAGCGGUGAAAUGCUUAGAUAUCGCGCAGAACCCCGAUUGCGAAGGCAGCGUACCGGCUCCACACUGACGCUGAGGCACGAAAGCGUGGGUAUCGAACAGGAUUAGAUACCCUGGUAGUC
This 459-nucleotide ribosomal RNA is filed under the name uncultured bacterium. RNAcentral's name for it is "partial 16S ribosomal RNA". It matches the Rfam family "Bacterial small subunit ribosomal RNA", at positions 338 to 795 of the family's 1533-position model. The record is from RNAcentral.